RNAcentral lists this ribosomal RNA (467 nucleotides) under uncultured bacterium. RNAcentral's name for it is "partial 16S ribosomal RNA". It matches the Rfam family "Bacterial small subunit ribosomal RNA", at positions 28 to 507 of the family's 1533-position model. The record is from RNAcentral.
GACGAACGCUGGCGGCGUGCUUAACACAUGCAAGUCGAACGGAAAGGCCUCUUUCGGGGGGUACUCGAGUGGCGAACGGGUGAGUAACACGUGAGUAACCUGCCCUCGACUUUGGGAUAACUUCAGGAAACUGGGGCUAAUACCGGAUAGGAGCUCCUGCUGCAUGGUGGGGGUUGGAAAGUUUCGGCGGUUGGGGAUGGACUCGCGGCUUAUCAGCUUGUUGGUGGGGUAGUGGCUUACCAAGGCUUUGACGGGUAGCCGGCCUGAGAGGGUGACGGGCGACAUUGGGACUGCGAUAAGGCCCAGAAUCCUACGGGAGGAAGCAGUGGGGAGUAUUGCUCAAUGGGUGGAAGCCUGCUGCAGCAACGCCGUGUGCGGGAUGACGGCGUUCGGGUUGUAAACCGGUUUUGCUAAUGACGAAGCGUUGUGUGACGGUAGUGGGUAAAGAAGCACCGGCUAACUACGUG